Triticum aestivum (bread wheat) is the source of this 115-nucleotide non-coding RNA. The record is from Rfam. Lineage: Eukaryota; Viridiplantae; Streptophyta; Magnoliopsida; Poales; Poaceae.
CAAGUACUCCCUCCGUUCGGAAUUACUUGUCUCGGAAAUGGAUGUAUCUAAAACCAAAACACGUCUAGAUACAUCCAUUUCUGCGACAAGUAAUUCCGAACGGAGGGAGUAAUUC